RNAcentral lists this long non-coding RNA (2335 nucleotides) under Heterocephalus glaber (naked mole-rat). RNAcentral's name for it is "lncRNA (ENSHGLG00000037875.1)". Lineage: Eukaryota; Metazoa; Chordata; Mammalia; Rodentia; Bathyergidae. The record is from RNAcentral.
UGGAUGAACACGGAUUUAAAGCAGCACACAGUUCAGCUGUAGGUUCGCGGCUGAGACAGCUUGCAUUUAGAGUCUGAUUCAAGUUUGGGGUUAGGAAUGGGGAUCAGUGGGUUUCAAGAUUAACCCCAGAAACAGGAUUGGUUUGGUCUAGAGUAUACCUUUUUAUUUGGGGGAUUUAUUGAUUGGCUAUAUUUAGAUUUGAGGUUGGGGUUACCAUUGGGGUUGAGUUUGAGUUAUGAUUUGGGCUGAGGUUAAAUCCGGAUCAAGUUUGAGGCUAAUGUUGUUGUGGCCUCAGUCAGGGCCCUGCAGAUUUCACUGGUUUCCCUACAGAGACCACUGUAGAAACUGUGUCUCCCUGAGUUCGGUACAAGACCCUGGCCCUCAGCCCUCCCACUCGGGGAAAGCCCCAGACCAACUGCCGCCUCCACGCACGAAACUGAAUUUCACACAACCCUGAAACUGAGAUUGAAACCCAGAUCCACUCAUCUCGGAGCGCCCUAGAGCACAUGGCAGACUCCCGUGACACUGAGGCCCAGCGCAGGGCUCGCCCUUCCUUCCUCUCUGGCUCUCCUGUCUCCCCGAGUCACUGCCUUCCCCUUUCUGUCCCCCGGGGUCCCAUUCUCCUCUGACCUCAGUGCCCUCUUUUUCUCUCUGCCUCGUCCUUCACUGCAGUGCUGUUCUCUGCUGUGCAGUGGCUUCACCAGGGUCUUUCCAUCCAUCCGCUCACAUGAUGAGAGAGGAAGCGAAGCAGCAGAAAGAAAGGAAGACCCUCAGGGAAGAGGAAUACAGAGACAAGGAAAGGAACAGCGGCCAAAAGGGAAACUAAAAGUGACAAAGCGGGGACAGUGAGAAUAGAAAGCAAAUGAGCCGGGCGUGGCAGCGCAGGCCUGCGAUCUGAGCACUUGGGAGGCUGAGGCAGGAGGAGCGCCACCAGUUCGAGGCCAGCCUGGGCUGCAUAGCGAGACCCUGUCUCUACCCCCUCAUAAGAAGUGAUGGAGAAGAAACCCAGAGUCUCAUAUGUGCUAGACAAGCGCUCUUCCCACCAGCUACAUCCUGGCCCUCCCUAGAGUACCCGUGGCGCUGCACACACGCAGAAUGGAGUUCAUGCUUCUUUUCUUGGCCUAAACCCUCCAGUCACUCUCUCAGCUUCAGAGCCUCCACCUCUUCCGCGCAUGCCUGCUGCACACUGGGACGCCCAGGUCCGGCCCUUUCGUUUUGUUUUGUUUUUGGUACCGGGGAUCGAACUCGGGUCCUUGCGCUUGCACAGCAGCUGGCGAAACCACUGAGCUACAUCCUGGCCCAAGUCAGACCCUUUCUCACCUCUGGCUUUACACGCAUUCCUUCCUCCACCCGAACCCCUCCUGCCCCCACUGUGAAGGCCAGGCCUUCCGCACUUGCCUGUGGGUGUCCAGGAGCCCCGGUCAAGGACCCAGCGAGCUGUCCCUUUUCGUCCACCAAGCACUCGUGCUCAGUGAGUGUUUGUGGGGUACAAGGAAUGCUGGACAGGAGGGCUGAGACCUGCAGGACUCAGAACAGCGCCCUCCAAGGAGUGGCCCCUUGGCAUCCGGGUAUGUUGGAUUAAAGCACUUGGGAGGCCUCAGAAGCAGCUUCCGAACCCAGGUCUCUCUGAUCUUCUCCUGCCCUCCUGUCUCUUGCCCCUUUUUCUCUCCCAAAGCAAGCUCUAUAGGAACUAGAAUUCCUCUUCCCCGAGACAGCUCCUACAAACUGCAGCAUAGAAAUAAUACUGAAUAAAACCUCGAAGUAUUACUGCAACACCCAUUCCACCCCACACCUUCCCAUGGAACAGCUGGCCAUAAAGAAAUCCUCGCUGAUCUACCUCGUCUGAGAGCAGGGCUAAGACCCCCUAUCCAGAGGGAUCUUGCAGCAUGCCCAGAAGGAAAAAAAUGCCACGUAGACAGGCUACAAAGAAGCUGAACAGAUGGGCUCGGCUGAUUUUUCCCACUAACUCCACUGGGUCAGGCCCUGGUUGUCUCAUCACAUUUCUACACAUCCUUUCAUUCUUCAUCUAGUGUGAACAUACAGUGGACAGUGUUCCUUCGGUCUUCGGGCCUUUAUUUCUGCUUUGUUUUGCUUGUUUGUUCUGAAACAGUUUCAAUAUCUAGCCCAGGCUGGACUCAAGCUUGUGGUCUUCCUGUCUCAGCCUCCCAAGUGCUGGAAUUUCAGAAAUGCACCACCAGGCUGUCUUGAGUCUUCAUUUCUGAAGUCUCCUCUGUUACAUAAAAUUUUGAUUAGGGCGGGGAUUUAGUUCAGUGGUUUCGCCGCCUGCUGCACAAGCCUAAGGACCCGAGUUCAAUCCCCAGUACCAAAAAACCCA